UUUCAGUAUCUGCACUUUCUUCACUUAAUCUUCUGCCAUCAUUACUUCUGUGUGGGCCAGUAGAUUCACCUCUCAUUCCUUCCAUGCUUACCAUUGUCUCAGUAACAGGGUCGAUAUCCAUUGAAUUGUUGAUAUCCCCUUUUUCCGCAUCCACGCUCUUAUCAUUUUUCCAUGAACCAUUAGAUUCACCCAUAAUUUCUUCAACGGCUUUAAUCUCUGUGCUACAUACCUUUUGGCCGUUGCUCUCUACCUUAUCAGCAUUUGCACUUUCUUCACAUAUCAAAUUAACACCGCCAUCAAAAUCACCUCCUCUUUCAUUCACCCCUUUGAUUUCAGCGACCAUGCUCAGUUCCCCUUGAUCACCGUCAGUGUCUGCAUUUUCAGUCUUUACACUUUGGUCACAUUGUAUCUUCUCUCCACUGCAUCCUGUGUUUGCAGCUUCUGCACUUAUGUUUCUUAAUUUUUCGUCAUCAUUUCCUUUUUCUGAACCACCGGAUUUGCCACUCAUUUCUUCAAUGCCUGUUAUCUCUGAGGCUGGAUUAUGUUCCAUUUGACCCUUAUCAGCAGGGCAAUUCAAAAUUUCUUUUGUAGACACAGCAGUGCCACUGCUAGAUGCAAUUUCACAUGCAAUAGCUGGAUUCGCCACUUCGGGCAAUUUUUCAUCAGUUAAGAUGGAUGAGCCAUUGGCAAACUCCCCAUCAACAGACAUCCUUGUGAGAGAAUGAAAGCGUCAAGCGGCAAUGUUGUUCAGCACCGCCGUAUUCCGCCGUAAGCGCUUAAUCCG
RNAcentral lists this unclassified non-coding RNA (784 nucleotides) under Hevea brasiliensis (rubber tree). Lineage: Eukaryota; Viridiplantae; Streptophyta; Magnoliopsida; Malpighiales; Euphorbiaceae. The record is from RNAcentral.